This 3839-nucleotide long non-coding RNA is filed under the name Trifolium pratense (red clover). Its description in RNAcentral is "long non-coding RNA (TPRA_LNC003690)". The record is from RNAcentral. Lineage: Eukaryota; Viridiplantae; Streptophyta; Magnoliopsida; Fabales; Fabaceae.
AAAUUUUCAUUCCCUCUGUUAUUUUCCUCAAAUAUUUUCCCCUUUUUAUUUCAGNNNNNNNNAGUUUCAGUCAAAAACAAAAACGGAUCAAACUUCUAUCUCUCGCAGCCCCAUACCUAUCAUCGCCGCCGUAGAUACUCUUCAUUGUAGGUUUCACUACUCUCUCUCUUCCUCUUUCGCUCUUUCUAUCUCUCUCUACAUCUCUCUGUGUAUGCGUGUCUGUCACAAUUUGGAUGUGGAUUCUUCAACUGUUAAUUGAUUUUGUCUUCAAUUUCUGGGUUUAUGUUAAUUUGUUGAUAUUUUGAUUACUAUGAUUUAGGAUUUUGAGUUUAUGUGUUCAAUUUAUGUAUUCUUCAUUUUAGGGUUUGAUUCAUUGGUUCUUUUUGGGGUUUGAUUCAUGGGUUCUUUUUUGUUAUUCUUUUUAGUUAGGUUUUUGAGUUCAAUUGAAUUUAGUACCACCAUACAGAACACAUGAACCUUAACUCUCCCUCCCCCAUUACAUACUAAACAUCACUUGUGAUCUGAGAUGUUGUCUUCAAUUUCUUUGAAAUUGUUGUUUUAUUUUAAGAGUCAAUACUAAGAUAUUUGCUAAUCUAAAAAUGCAGAAUGUAAAUUUUUUAUACUUUCAAAGUGAAAUUUUGACUAAGACCUGUAUUAGAUGGUAUACAUUAAGAAACAUUAUGACAAAAAUGCAAAAUGUGAAAACAAAGUCCAUGUAGACCCUUGAUGUAACAUCCCGGAUUUUUAUCCAAGAUAUUUCUUAAAAAUCUUAUUUAGUUAGAAAAUGUGACGCUAUUUUUUUUUCUUUUUAAAAUAAAAUGGUUAUAAGGAUAAUUGAAGUGAAAUUCAGAAAAAUAUAAACUUAAUUUAAAAAUGAAUUAUUGUUUGAAAAUUUCCAGCGGAAGAAAAUACAACAAAGAACUAUUUAUUACAUAAAAUUCACAAAUUACAAAAACCAUUUUUUUCCCGUUCGUACGCGCUUCAAGCAUCACAUCACAUUCAAUCAAAGCUUUCUCCUUGAGUACCUAAAAUGUUGGUUGUAAGGGUCAAUUUCCAUAUCCACAUUGAAUCAUACUCACCACAAGAAAAUGUUAUAAAAUAAUAACAAAACACUUCACCUUUCCAAAAACAUAAUUAUUAGUUUAUUAUAAAAACUUUUGGAUGAUAGGAGUCACAUACACAAACAUAGGUAGCAUCUUAUUGUUAAACAACAGUAAUAAACAAGACAAUAUAAUUACACAUAUUACAAAUUGUAUGACAAAAUCAAAUGAAAGACGAGGAAGCAACGAUCACCGCUUUACCAUGGACUAACUAUACUUUUUCUUUUCUUCCUUUUUCUUUCUCUUUGUUUUUAUAAUAACUGGAAUAAUUAUUUACUAUCGUAUUUUUUUUCCCUUUCUAUAUGGAAUGCAAUGUGACUAAAACAACACUAUAUGAAAUACUAAUUAUCCGGAUAAUAAGUCUCAUACCAAUGAGAGAACCAGCCACACAGGCUCCAAGCCACACAGACUAAAAAAAUAAACCAGCCACACAGGCUAAAAGUAAACCAAGCCACAAAGGCUACCUAUAGAAACUCUACUAUACACAUCCUAUAUGAUGCAUGAACUCCACUUCCUUAAUAAGACCAACCUGACGUGCAACAUACUUACUCCUUCCUAUACUUUUAUUUACCUCCCUUAAUUUAUAUUAACAAGGAAAUGACAUUCUCACAAACCGGAAACAUAAUUGUAUGUGUGUAAGUCUAUUGUACUCACCACGACAUCAAGCAUUCCACAUUGAUUCUAUAUAGUAUGAACAUGGCAGUACACAUUAUAAUCAUAUAUAAGGGCAAAAUCACAGUUCACAAGAUUAACCAAACAUAGGCAUACACGGAUUAAAAACAUAUUUUCAAUUAUUUAUUUAUUGUUUUAUAUAUAGGGUUAAUUCAUUUGGUUCAUUUUAAGUGACAAAGGCUUUACUAUCAUUCCACAACAAAUCCCUAUGUAGCAUGAACGUAUGGGGAAAAAGCCCUUAACUCAGCCGCUUUCCUCCCAAUCACAAUAUUAGCCUAAAUUCGCAGCUACAGUGCACACGCUAUAUCAUUCGUUCCAGAGUCCGUUGUGACAAUUCGAUAAUUAAUUAACGAAGAUGCAGUCGCGGUUUUACGGUGACAGCUAGAAAUAAAAUUGAAGGAGAAUAGAGCUUAUAACAAGGCUUGAUGGUCAUUUGAGUUGAUGAGUGUGGGAAUUUUAAGUAAGUGGAAAUAGAAACCGAUGUUGAGUUGUUGAUGGGUUUUUUUGGAGGAGAAAUAGAAACUACCUGGGAGAGAUAUAAGGUGUGGUGUAUUUUGACCCCGAAAACACAUGCUAACAAUGAUCAAUAUUGAAAUGGAAUAACCGCCGAAAAUGAAAGGUAAUGGUGAGUUGUAAUGGUCAAUUAAAUCCCUUAAGUGCAUUAGAAUGAUAUGAAAGAAAAUAAACGUGGAAGUUACAAUUUGAUUUUAGAAUGUCAUUCAUAUCAUAUAAAUGAUAAUAACUUCCAAUUGUUUCUCUUAAUUUUUACUAAUUAAUACUAUAAAAUCAAAGAGAGGUCCGUUUUCUUUUCCAUUUAGUUGUCAACAAUGAAAUGAAUGAAAUUAAAGCCACUAAAGGGAAGAGACUAGUCGUGAGCUUUUAGAAGGGAAAUCAAAGCUAUAUUACUAUUUUCUCAAAUAGUUAAUAAUUAAUAUUAAUAUAAAUAUAAAUGUAAUAUAAUCAUAGUCAAUUUAUGCUAGGAAUGGUUAUUUGAUCGUGGUCACACCCAAUUGAUUGAUAAAAUAAGACAGGUUUCUAAUAAAUUAAAUAAAACAUGUACUAUCACAAUUUUAUUAAAUUCUUCAUACGUAAAUAGUAAAUUAAAAGUAAUAAGAUUAAAAAUGACGAUAUAAAUAAAAUAUCGGGUCGUUAUACUUGAAAUCUCCAAUUUAAAAAUGACAUACUACUAUAAAGAAAAGGGUUGGAGCAUACAUGUUCACUUAAAGCCAAGGGACUUACAUGAACAUAACGUAUAGGUUCAGCCACCACAUAUCAAUCAUAGUGUUUGCUUGUUUAAUUGCUGAUUUUUUUUUUUUAGCAAAUCCAUGACCUGGACGACCAUAUCAGUCAUUUUUUAGAUUGAUCUGUCAUGUAUGUCACUUUUUUAUUUAUGUGUAUUUUAUUUGAUUGGUUUUGAUUCUUUGAUGCAAGUACUGAGGAGAAAAUAAGAAUGCACCUACUAACGUAGGUUCAUCCACCGCAUAUCAGUCAUAGUGUUUGGUUGUUUAAGUUCAAGAAGAAAUUGCAUUCUCUUUACCAUGUCAUAAUUAUGUGGUUUUUAUAUUUCUUACUUUGGAAGCCUCUGUUAAAAUGUUGUUUGUACUUUGUAGUCUCAGUUUGACUAGUUUUUUUGUGCUUUCUCUUUACUAUGUCAUAAUUAAAAUGCUUUUUGGUUGUUAUAUUUCUAUAUUAGGUUGUGCUGCUGAGAUUAGAUUAAGUGCCACAUGUAUGGGGAUAAAGAUAAACCAUGUUCAUAUUUUGUUAAAAGUUCUCUUAAAUGCAAAAUAAAAUACAUUUAUCCCAAAAAUACGAGAAUUAUAUAGAUUCAAUUUGAUAGAAAAUAGAUAGUUUUAAGUUAAUGCUUUCGAAAACAUGUAUUCAAUCAUGUGUUUUGUUUUUAGUUUGGAAUGUUUCAGGUACAAGGAGACGACACCAAUAUAUGCUAAUAUCAUUGUUAGCCUUUUCAUGUGUCUCAACUUUUGUAUCUUCUCUUCUAUUUUUGAGCAGGUUAUCUGAAGAGCCUAAGGUUAAGUUAAUGUCUGAGCCUCAAAAGCUACCAAUAGANNN